GUGCUCACUUUGGCAGCACAUAUACUAUAAUUGAAACAAUACAGAGAAGAUUAGCAUGGCCCCUGCCCAAGGAUGACAUGCAAAUUCGUAAAGCAAAAACCACAAUG
RNAcentral lists this small nuclear RNA (107 nucleotides) under Delphinapterus leucas (beluga whale). Lineage: Eukaryota; Metazoa; Chordata; Mammalia; Artiodactyla; Monodontidae. The record is from RNAcentral.